AAAUAAUAAAAUAAUAAAUAAAAAUCGAGCAAUCAAUGAAAAGUUGACGUAGGCAAAAAGAAAAAGUUGAAAAAAUUCGAAUAAACGAGAAAAUAGAAUAUAACAGUAUCAUAUGUAGCUGAUAUUAUUCAGACCGCGCCACUUAAUAGGCCGCGGCACACAAAUGAGCCGGUAAAGCUGGUUAAGCUCCACAUAAAUGCACAGAUAAAAUAAAUGAGCACCUGAACAAUUCAACAGCUGAGCAGGCGGAAAGAUUGCUACAUUUAUCUGCAUAUAAAAUACCAAAAAAAAAAGCACACACAAAAUGGAAAAACGAUUGGCCGCCUCGAAAACUGGACAAGUGUUCGAAGACUUGACGACGACGUGCUUCAGAUGAUGCAAACAAGUGCUACAACACAAUGUGCUGCUGAUUAUUUGGUCUAAAUGUCUGUAUCUUCUUUCACAAAAACGAAGAAGAAAUAUUAAUAAUGACUCUGCAAACACACCUUCCAUUUGUUACCAGUCAAAUAAAUCAUGAAUGAAAUUCCUACAACUUAAAUGGUGUGCACAUGUAUACCUAUGUACUUUUCUAUAUACAUAUUCAUUAUUCCGCCUGCUUGUGUUGAUUUUUAUAUUUGAAACACGGGAUAUUAAGUACGCCACGAAGAAGGCAUCACACAGAAGGAAGCAUCGGAGGUCCUAUAAAUUAUGUACCUUAAACUUUGAGAAUGUUUUCGUGGAAAAAAUCAUUAUGACAAUAGUCGAAAUACGUCGAAAAGAGACAGCAUAAAUUUCCAUAGAAGUUUCGAGAAGUUGUGAAAUAUCUAUGUAGCUGUUAUCCCGUGCAAUAAACCAAAAGUGUUGCGUGCUGCUGUGCAAUAACUAUUUUUGUGUUAAAAAAAUAAAUCAAUAACGAUGGAGUUUUCAAAUAUAAUAUACGAAAAAAAUUAUUAAGUUUCAAAUAAAAUUAAAUUUUUAGUUAAUUUUCAUUUUUAUUUAGGCAUUUUUAAAUUCCGAAUUAUUCACGAACUGGAGAAACACGUACAGCACAGCUUUUGAGAGGAGCAAGCACGGAAUUAAUCGAAAAUUUCUUUUCAUGACCUAGUAUGUAAUUAUAUUUUUGUUACUAUCCUUUUUUAUAUUA
Non-coding RNA from Bactrocera oleae (olive fruit fly), 1123 nucleotides. Lineage: Eukaryota; Metazoa; Arthropoda; Insecta; Diptera; Tephritidae. The record is from RefSeq and is a predicted model, not a curated record.